RNAcentral lists this ribosomal RNA (417 nucleotides) under uncultured microorganism. RNAcentral describes it as "bacterial SSU rRNA". It matches the Rfam family "Archaeal small subunit ribosomal RNA", at positions 330 to 745 of the family's 1478-position model. The record is from RNAcentral.
GCGCAGCAGGCGAGAAACUUCACAAUGUGCGAAAGCACGAUGAGGGAAUCCCAAGUGCUUGCUCGUAAGAGUAAGCUGUUUCUCUGUCUAAAACGCAGAGAGAGUAAGGGCUGGGUAAGACGGGUGCCAGCCGCCGCGGUAAUACCUGCAGCUCGAGUGGUGGCCGCUAUUAUUGGGCCUAAAAACGUCCGUAGCCGGUUUAUUAAAUGCCUGGGUAUAUCGGACCGCUUAACGGUUCGAAUUCCGGGUAGACUGAUAAAACUUGAGACCGGGAGAAGCUAGAGGUACUCCUGGGGUAGAGGUGAAAUUCUGUAAUCCUAGGGGGACCACCAGUGGCGAAAGGCGUCUAGCUAGAACGGGUCUGACGGUGAGGGACGAAGCCCUGGGGCGCAAAACGGGAUUAGAUACCCCGAUAGU